Long non-coding RNA from Alnus glutinosa, 780 nucleotides. RefSeq lists it as uncharacterized. The transcript has 2 exons. NCBI's taxonomy places the organism in Eukaryota, Viridiplantae, Streptophyta, Magnoliopsida, Fagales, Betulaceae. The record is from RefSeq and is a predicted model, not a curated record.
AAGAAAAACUUGCACGGCAAGUUCUUUUAUUGUUUUAUAAAAUUCUUAUUUUCUUUCUCUUUCUUGGUCUUCUUCUUUCUUUCUUUACUAUUCUUCGUUGCUUCUUUUUCUUAUACCUGAGAACAGAGAGGGGGACUUGAGAGGAGAGAAACAGAGGCGAGAGAGAGAGAACACAAUCGAGAGAGAGAGAGAGAGAGAGGGCCGAUCGUGGUGGACCCAGACCGAACCGGAGAAGAGAGAGUCGGGGGAGGCUAGUCCUCCAUGGGUCGCCGGAGGACGCGACUUCCGACGGCAUGGAGCGGGACUUCCGGUGGGUGAGCUGGGUCGGCGUCGUCCAGCAGAGCAGAAGCCGAUUUCCGGCAGGCUCAGGUGUUUUUCGGCCUAGCCCAGUGACCCCAAAUCCGACCCGUGACCCGAAGACCCGAAGCCCAGUGACCCCAAAUCCGACAGACCCAGAACCCGGUCCUCCAUGGCGUUUUCCGGCGACUUCCAGAACUGAUUUCCGGUUGUUUCAGCAUGGUUUUCUGGUGGAUUUAUGAGAAACCCCCAAAAUGACAACCGUAAGACGAAGUCCCUUUCUUGUAAGGGAGUAGACCUCGCUGAGAGCGAUAGUUCGUGAUGAACCAGCCAAACCCUAACAUUGUAUAGUACGAUUUGUUCCUUUUGGAGUUCAUGAUUUUGUAUAGAUUUAUAUAUAGAAAGGUUUAAGAGAGUAGAAGUUUUAAAUUUUUAGUUGUAAAUGCACGCUUUUAUUUAUAAUGUUUGUUUUUAGCACUUAAA